AAGAAAUAGUUUAUUUUAAAAUAUUAAUUUUGGAGAUUAAAGAUAGUUAAUGCUUUUCUUGAU
Molecule: transfer RNA, 63 nt
Filed under: Amarygmini sp. ACP-2013
Lineage: Eukaryota; Metazoa; Arthropoda; Insecta; Coleoptera; Tenebrionidae
Description: tRNA-Pro
Source: RNAcentral